CGGCGGAGGAAGCCCAGCCCUUGCCAUCUCUUUUGAAUGUGCUCCAUCAUUCUUCCUCCAGCUUCCAUCCAGGGAGGAACUAAUGUAAUUUGUAUAAAAUGAGCAACUGGAAAUUAAUGGUGCAGAGAUCAGCUGACGUAUCCAAUUCCUCCAGAAGAACUUGUGUGAUGAUUUCCCCUGAUUUACAAGAUACAGUCCAGCAACAAUGAGAAAACCAAGACAGAGACACUGAGUUCACGUGACUGCUCAGGCUGAUACGAGAUGCAGUCAGGAUUCCCACACGGGUCCGCGCUGACUCAUGGCCCUGCCGCACACAUCGGAGAGCAAGCAGUGAUGCAGUACCAAACUUGCAGCAGUGAGGAACUAAAGAGGAGAACUGACGGAUGGGCUAGAGGUCUGAUUCAAACUCUUGAUGACGAAUUGAAGAACUGCUUUUCAAAUAUGUAUCCUAUUUGACUUUUUGUAUAUUUGUUAGUACAUUAUACACCAUUAUUUCUUCUGUCAUUUGUUCAAUAAACAUUCCUUGAGCUUUUGCCACGUGCCAGCGAGCACUCGGGCAGAGCACCGAGGAAUGGCCAUGUUCAGUAACCAGAAAGCACAGCUCUGUCAGGAAUUAUAACCUCUGCGACUCUGGUA
Artibeus jamaicensis (Jamaican fruit-eating bat) is the source of this 636-nucleotide long non-coding RNA. RefSeq lists it as uncharacterized. The transcript has 4 exons. NCBI's taxonomy places the organism in Eukaryota, Metazoa, Chordata, Mammalia, Chiroptera, Phyllostomidae. The record is from RefSeq and is a predicted model, not a curated record.